This 443-nucleotide ribosomal RNA is filed under the name uncultured bacterium. RNAcentral describes it as "partial 16S ribosomal RNA". It matches the Rfam family "Bacterial small subunit ribosomal RNA", at positions 338 to 795 of the family's 1533-position model. The record is from RNAcentral.
CCUACGGGUGGCAGCAGUGGGGAAUAUUGGGCAAUGGAGGCAACUCUGACCCAGCAAUGCCGCGUGAGUGAUGAAGGUAAUUUUAUUGUAAAGCUCUUUUCUUUGGAACGAAUAAAUGACGGUACCAAAGGAAUAAGCCCCGGCUAACUACGUGCCAGCAGCCGCGGUAAUACGUAGGGGGCAAGCGUUGUUCGGAAUGACUGGGCGUAAAGGGUGUGUAGGUGGUUUGAUAAGUUAGAUGUGUAAUACCCAGGGCUUAACUCGGGUGCUGCUUCUAAAACUGUAAGACUUGAGUGCAGUAGAGGUUAGUGGAAUUCCUAGUGUAGCGGUGGAAUGCGUAGAUAUUAGGAGGAACACCAGAGGCGAAGGCGGCUAACUGGACUGCAACUGACGCUGAGGCACGAAAGUGUGGGGAGCAAACAGGAUUAGAUACCCCAGUAGUC